RNAcentral lists this long non-coding RNA (470 nucleotides) under Danio rerio (zebrafish). Its description in RNAcentral is "lncRNA (ENSDARG00000117477.1)". Lineage: Eukaryota; Metazoa; Chordata; Actinopteri; Cypriniformes; Danionidae. The record is from RNAcentral.
GUUUUAGUUUUCGUUUACUAAUAUCACCCUGUUUCCUGUAGACAUCUUUUUGAAGUGAAGAUGAGCUGGAAUGGAGACAGUCGUUUUUGGCAGAACAGCCAUGAAGCUAUUCCAGGCAGUGCUGGAACAUAAAUAUGCACACAGACAGCCCACAGAAAGCGUGGGUGUACUGCCAGACCUGGACGGAGGACGGGUUAGAACAUUUAAAAAAAAAAUAGCCUGAAUAUGAGGUGAGACUCAUGAGGCAGCUAAGUGUGGGAGUUUGUUUCCUCUACAACUUCACUCACUAACUCUUAUUCAUUGAGACGCAGCUAGACAAAACCGUUUUCCUCAUUUGCAUGUAAUUAAAAGUGAUAUCUCACCCAAAUAUUAAAAUGAUGUCAUUAUUUGCUCACCUCAUGUUAACACCUGUAAGAUUUUCUAAGAUCUGUGAAAAUGCAAAAAAAAAAUCUGUAUAAUAAACGUCAAUG